Astyanax mexicanus (Mexican tetra) is the source of this 1140-nucleotide long non-coding RNA. RefSeq lists it as uncharacterized. Lineage: Eukaryota; Metazoa; Chordata; Actinopteri; Characiformes; Acestrorhamphidae. The record is from RefSeq and is a predicted model, not a curated record. The transcript has 2 exons.
UUCUGUUUAUAUCAGUUACAGAAUUAUUUCAAUAAUGCUCCAGUCAAUAACACUUCCUGGCUCGGUCCAAAGCACGUCUCUUAGGGCCCUAUAUUUCAUCCUGCCAAAAGUCUAUUUUCACAAUUGCCAAUGUCUCACUUAAAUAGCAACGGUGCUUCUGAAUACAUCUACGCUGAUGGGUGUGGUCGUCUGAAAAUGAGGUGUGUUCAAGUAUUUUUCUGGUGUAUUGCUAUCUUGGCAACGGAAAAAACAGGUGCGCCACUGUCUGAAUACAACCUAGACCUUUACAACAACGAUGAAGCGUUGAACAUGUCCAGGUGGCUGCACCCCUGAAAUAGCAAUCCGUAUUGCUAUCUUGCUAAUGGAAAACACACUUGUGUCACUGACUGAAUACAACCAUGACAGAUGUCAGAAGGCAAAUGUUCAUUGCUAUCUUGGCAAUGCAAAUGCAUCACACUUGCGCAAUGCGCGUACACUGCCGCUCGUUACACACAGGGACACCUUAACGACCUGUUCACAAACUGUGAACGAGUUUCCUCUGCUGAGAAGAGUUGGGCACGUUCAAGUGCAACUUUAAAAUAGAAAUACGCCAAAGUCAGAGUGCACCUGUCUCUUAAAGGAAAUGGCAAGUGACACACUGAUUGGUUUGUUUUACUUUAUGCCUAAAAUUAACCACAACCAUGGAUAAUUAAAAUAAUAAAUACAUGCCUUUUGUGCGUUUCAAGCCCUGCAAAUGAGAAGGGUCUGAUCUGGGAAGGCAGGUGUUCUCAAGUGUACUUCCGGAAUUUCCUGACCGGAUCUUGCAGAAACAUUGUCCUGACAGUGAAGUUUUACUUUUUUAAGAUACUACCACCACCAUGUUUGAAAGUUUGUAAUAAAUGUAAUGAUCCUAGUUAAAGAGUGCAGUUUUUGCUUUUUGGCACGUUUUUUUUUUUUUUUUUUUGUCAGGCUCCUUGCAUCCAGAAACUCCUAGUGAACUUCCAUAAAGGAAAGCGCUCACUGGAUAAAAGUACACUGUAUUAUAUAAAUGUAAUUAAAGUUAUUUUUUUACAAGGCUUUUUAUUGUGAUAGUGAAGUCAGUGUAACUGCACCUGUAACUGUAAGUGUAAUUUUAAGUAAACUGUUUUGCAUAAAUGCUAA